This 440-nucleotide ribosomal RNA is filed under the name uncultured bacterium. RNAcentral's name for it is "partial 16S ribosomal RNA". It matches the Rfam family "Bacterial small subunit ribosomal RNA", at positions 338 to 795 of the family's 1533-position model. The record is from RNAcentral.
CCUACGGGUGGCAGCAGUGGGGAAUAUUGCACAAUGGGGGAAACCCUGAUGCAGCGACGCCGCGUGAGUGAAGAAGUAAUUCGUUAUGUAAAGCUCUAUCAGCAGGGAAGAAAAUGACGGUACCUGAGUAAGAAGCCCCGGCUAACUACGUGCCAGCUGCCGUGGUAAUACGCAGGGGGCAAGCGUUAUCCGGAUUUACUGGGUGUAAAGGGAGCGUAGACGGCAGUGCAAGUCUGGAGUGAAAGGCGGGGGCGCAACCCCCGGACUGCUCUGGAAACUGGACGGCUGGAGUGCAGGAGAGGUAAGUGGAAUGCCUGGGGUAGCGGUGAAAUGCGUAGAUAUUAGGAGGAACACCAGUGGCGAAGGCGGCUUACUGGACUGUAACUGACGUUGAGGCACGAAAGCGUGGGGAGCGAACAGGAUUAGAUACCCUGGUAGUC